RNAcentral lists this ribosomal RNA (388 nucleotides) under uncultured bacterium. RNAcentral's name for it is "bacterial SSU rRNA". It matches the Rfam family "Bacterial small subunit ribosomal RNA", at positions 28 to 417 of the family's 1533-position model. The record is from RNAcentral.
GACGAACGCUGGCGGCGUGCUUAACACAUGCAAGUCGAGCGGUAAGGCCCUUUCGGGGGUACGCGAGCGGCGAACGGGUGAGUAACACGUGGGUGACCUGCCCUCAGCUCUGGGAUAAGCCUGGGAAACUGGGUCUAAUACUGGAUAUGACUCCACGGUGCAUGUCGUGGGGUGGAAAGCCUUGUGCGGCUGAGGAUGGGCCCGCGGCCUAUCAGCUUGUUGGUGGGGUGANGGCCUACCAAGGCGACGACGGGUAGCCGGCCUGAGAGGGCGACCGGCCACACUGGGACUGAGACACGGCCCAGACUCCUACGGGAGGCAGCAGUGGGGAAUCUUGCGCAAUGGGCGAAAGCCUGACGCAGCGACGCCGCGUGAGGGAUGACGGCCU